This 181-nucleotide unclassified non-coding RNA is filed under the name uncultured Trichoderma. RNAcentral describes it as "sequence contains ITS1". The record is from RNAcentral. Lineage: Eukaryota; Fungi; Ascomycota; Sordariomycetes; Hypocreales; Hypocreaceae.
UAGAGUUUAAAAACUCCCAAACCCAUGUGAACAUACCUCUGUUGCCUCGGCGGGGUCACGCCCCGGGUGCGUCGCAGCCCCGGAACCAGGCGCCCGCCGGAGGGACCAACCAAACUCUUUUCUGCAGUCCCCUCGCGGACGUUAUUACAUACAGCUCUGAGCAAAAAUUCAAAAUGAAUCA